AGUCCUACGGGACGCAGCCGUGGGGCCUCUUGCCCCCUUUUCUCCCUCCUGAUGCAGCAACGCCGCGUGAAGGAAGACGGUUUUCGGAUUGUAAACUUCUAUCAAUAGGGAAGAAAGAAAUGACGGUACCUAAAUAAGAAGCCCCGGCUAACUACGUGCCAGCAGCCGCGGUAAUACGUAGGGGGCAAGCGUUAUCCGGAAUUACUGGGUGUAAAGGGAGAGUAGGUGGCAAGGUAAGCGAUAUGUGAAAGCCUUAAGCUUAACUUAAGGAUUGCAUAACGAACUAUCUAGCUAGAGUACAGGAG
RNAcentral lists this ribosomal RNA (305 nucleotides) under uncultured bacterium. RNAcentral's name for it is "bacterial SSU rRNA". It matches the Rfam family "Bacterial small subunit ribosomal RNA", at positions 335 to 654 of the family's 1533-position model. The record is from RNAcentral.